CUACUCUUGGACAGCCUUCUGAAAGGAAGAUUAAUACAAGAUGGCAUCAUGAGUCCACAUGUUCACAUGAUUAAAGGUAUUCCGGUAGACGAUGGGGAUGCGUUCCAUUAGAUAGUAGGCGGGGUAACGGCCCACCUAGUCUUCGAUGGAUAGGGGUUCUGAGAGGAAGGUCCCCCACAUUGGAACUGAGACACGGUCCAAACUCCUACGGGAGGCAGCAGUGAGGAAUAUUGGUCAAUGGGCGAGAGCCUGAACCAGCCAAGUAGCGUGAAGGAUGACUGCCCUAUGGGUUGUAAACUUCUUUUAUAAAGGAAUAAAGUCGGGUAUGCAUACCCGUUUGCAUGUACUUUAUGAAUAAGGAUCGGCUAACUCCGUGCCAGCAGCCGCGGUAAUACGGAGGAUCCGAGCGUUAUCCGGAUUUAUUGGGUUUAAAGGGAGCGUAGAUGGAUGUUUAAGUCAGUUGUGAAAGUUUGCGGCUCAACCGUAAAAUUGCAGUUGAUACUGGAUAUCUUGAGUGCAGUUGAGGCAGGCGGAAUUCGUGGUGUAGCGGGUGAAAUGCUUAGAUAUCACGAAGACUCCGAUUGCGAAGGCAGCCUGCUAAGCUG
RNAcentral lists this ribosomal RNA (605 nucleotides) under uncultured Bacteroidales bacterium. RNAcentral's name for it is "bacterial SSU rRNA". It matches the Rfam family "Bacterial small subunit ribosomal RNA", at positions 133 to 736 of the family's 1533-position model. Lineage: Bacteria; Pseudomonadati; Bacteroidota; Bacteroidia; Bacteroidales. The record is from RNAcentral.